Chelonia mydas (Green sea turtle) is the source of this 1048-nucleotide long non-coding RNA. RefSeq lists it as uncharacterized. Lineage: Eukaryota; Metazoa; Chordata; Testudines; Cheloniidae. The transcript is spliced from 3 exons. The record is from RefSeq and is a predicted model, not a curated record.
CUGAGGAAGCCCCUACCCUCCCACUCUGCUGCGCAUGCUGAGCCUGGAGGCGAGUAUAAAAGGAAGCAGCCCAGCUCACUCUUGGCAGGCUGCUGAAGGAGGAGGAUGCAGACUGCGGGCUCUCUCCAGUUAGGUGCUACAGGUACCGAUUACAGGCUGCCUAAUAAGCCUGGAGAAGAGACCAUGCCAGAAGGAGCUAUACCACAUGAGGACCCAGGGAAACCAUGGAGCAUCACUGAGGGACUUAGACUUUUCUCUGGAAUCUCUCCCAGACCUCCAUUUUGGAUUUAUGUGACUGUGACUGCUUGCGACUGCCACCUUGUUAUCACUAGCUGUAACCAUAAUCUGGCAGAUACCAAGGAACCCUGAAGAUGGUACAGCUCUUCAUAGAGCAUCCCCAGGACCAGGAGACUGCAAAGGGCCAUUUUUACCUGCCUUCCUUAGCUGUGCCAAGCACUCCUGGGACACAAUAGAGGAACUCAUUACACCAUCUUCUCAUUAUGGAACAGUACUAGGCUGAGACUACUUCUUGACAAGAAAGACUGGGAAGUUUUGAUUGUCGCUUAUCUUGGCUUAGGUAUGCUAGUUUAGUAAGAACUUCCAAAGGUUCAUGGGCUCAGAUCAGAUGAUCAUCAAAACUUCUGGAUGAUCCAAAAUUAUGUGGCAUAGAAGUUAUUCUGAAAAUAUCUCAUGUUCAAAUUGCCUCAUGAAAUCCUCAGUACUACCUGUUCUUGGCCUGUCCAAAACCAGUAGAUAAAAAGGUGAGUAAAAUGUAAAACACACAAUUUAUUUUUGAACUGUAUAAAAGGACCAAAUUCAGUUUGACUUUUUUAUUACCCUGUUAUUUUGGCUGACAUUAAUUGGGUUGCCCACCCAUUAUUACAAUUCAUUAUCUAUGAAUUUCCUAGAGACUGUAUUCCAUUGUCACUCCAUUAUCCUAAACUAACACAGAAUGUAGCUGCUUCAAUUUUCAUUGGACCAGAUUACCCCUUCAUGUAGAAACCCAUCAGAGUGAGCAAGGAGUUUUUUUCCCAGAUACUUCAAUACU